RNAcentral lists this ribosomal RNA (293 nucleotides) under uncultured bacterium. Its description in RNAcentral is "partial 16S ribosomal RNA". It matches the Rfam family "Bacterial small subunit ribosomal RNA", at positions 505 to 796 of the family's 1533-position model. The record is from RNAcentral.
GUGUCAGCAGCCGCGGUAAGACGAACCGUGCGAACGUUAUUCGGAAUCACUGGGCUUAAAGCGCGCGUAGGCGGGCCGGCACGUCGGAUGCUGAAAGCCCCCGGCUCAACCGGGGAAGGGGCACCGAUACGACCGGCCUGGAGUGGGGUAGGGGGAGCCGGAACUUCCGGUGGAGCGGUGAAAUGCGUUGAGAUCGGAAGGAACGCCCGUGGCGAAAGCGGGCUCCUGGACCCCGACUGACGCUGAGGCGCGAAAGCCAGGGGAGCGAACGGGAUUAGAUACCCUCGUAGUCC